CCUACGGGUGGCAGCAGUGAGGAAUAUUGGUCAAUGGACGCGAGUCUGAACCAGCCAAGCCGCGUGCGGGAAGACGGCUCUAUGAAUUGUAAACUUCUUUUGUACGGGGAUAAACGCAGAUACGCGUCUCUGUCUGAAAGUAUCGUACGAAUAAGGAUCGGCUAACUCCGUGCCAGCAGCCGCGGUAAUACGGAGGAUUCAAGCGUUAUCCGGAUUUAUUGGGUUUAAAGGGUGCGUAGGCGGUCGGAUAAGUUAGAGGUGAAAUCCCGGGGCUCAACGUCGGAAUUGCCUUUGAUACUGUUCGGCUAGAGAGUAGUUGCGGUAGGCGGAAUGUAUGGUGUAGCGGUGAAAUGCUUAGAGAUCACACAGAACACCGAUUGCGAAGGCAGCUUACCAAGCUACUUCUGACGUUGAGGCACGAAAGCGUGGGGAGCAAACAGGAUUAGAUACCCGGGUAGUC
This 460-nucleotide ribosomal RNA is filed under the name uncultured bacterium. Its description in RNAcentral is "partial 16S ribosomal RNA". It matches the Rfam family "Bacterial small subunit ribosomal RNA", at positions 338 to 795 of the family's 1533-position model. The record is from RNAcentral.